CCUACGGGCGGCAGCAGUAAGGAAUAUUGGUCAAUGGACGCAAGUCUGAACCAGCCAUGCCGCGUGGAGGAUGAAGGUCCUCUGGAUUGUAAACUUCUUUUAUUUGGGAAGAAACUCCCGAUUUCCAUCGGGAUUGACGGUACCAGAUGAAUAAGCACCGGCUAACUCCGUUCCAGCAGCCGCGGUAAUACGGCGGGUGCAAGCGUUAUCCGGUUUCAAGGGGUUUAAAGUGGGCAGAGAUGUCCAGGUAGAAAUCUCCGGGCUUAACCCGGAAACUGCCAUUGAUACUAUUUGUCUUGAAUACUCUGGAGGUGAGCGGAAUAUGUCAUGUAGCGGUGAAAUGCUUAGAUAUGACAUAGAACACCCAUUGCGAAGGCAGCUCACUACGGAAAUAUUGACGCUGAGGCACGAAAGCGUGGGGAUCAAACAGGAUUAGAUACCCCGGUAGUC
Molecule: ribosomal RNA, 450 nt
Filed under: uncultured bacterium
Lineage: Bacteria
Description: partial 16S ribosomal RNA
Rfam family: Bacterial small subunit ribosomal RNA
Source: RNAcentral